This 467-nucleotide ribosomal RNA is filed under the name uncultured bacterium. RNAcentral's name for it is "partial 16S ribosomal RNA". It matches the Rfam family "Bacterial small subunit ribosomal RNA", at positions 28 to 506 of the family's 1533-position model. The record is from RNAcentral.
GACGAACGCUGGCGGCGUGCUUAACACAUGCAAGUCGAACGGAAAGGCCCUGCUUUUGUGGGGUGCUCGAGUGGCGAACGGGUGAGUAACACGUGAGUAACCUGCCCUUGACUUUGGGAUAACUUCAGGAAACUGGGGCUAAUACCGGAUAGGAGCUCCUGCUGCAUGGUGGGGGUUGGAAAGUUUCGGCGGUUGGGGAUGGACUCGCGGCUUAUCAGCUUGUUGGUGGGGUAGUGGCUUACCAAGGCUUUGACGGGUAGCCGGCCUGAGAGGGUGACCGGCCACAUUGGGACUGAGAUACGGCCCAGACUCCUACGGGAGGCAGCAGUGGGGAAUAUUGCACAAUGGGCGGAAGCAUGAUGCAGCAACGCCGCGUGCGGGAUGACGGCCUUCGGGUUGUAAACCGCUUUCGCGUGUGACGAAGCGUGAGUGACGGUAAUGGGUAAAGAAGCACCGGCUAACUACGU